This 278-nucleotide ribosomal RNA is filed under the name uncultured prokaryote. Its description in RNAcentral is "partial 16S ribosomal RNA". It matches the Rfam family "Bacterial small subunit ribosomal RNA", at positions 524 to 801 of the family's 1533-position model. The record is from RNAcentral.
UACGUAUGGGGCGAGCGUUGUUCGGAAUUAUUGGGUGUAAAGGGCGUCUAGGCGGGAAAUUAAGUUAUAUGUGAAAGGCGUGGGCUUAACCCACGAAUUGCAUCUAAAACUGGUUUUCUUGAGUUCGGGAGAGGAGAGCGGAAUUCUUGGUGUAGCGGUGAAAUGCGUAGAUAUCAAGAAGAACACCAGUGGCGAAGGCGGCUCUCUGGCCUAGAACUGACGCUGAAGCGCGAAAGCGUGGGUAGCGAACGGGAUUAGAUACCCCUGUAGUCCCUGAG